GUAGUUCUUGCGAGGCAAAAAUUACGUGCUCACAAGGUAGACAAUAAUAUAUUUAUCAAUAAUGAAACAAUUAACAAAAACGACCUCAAGAAGCAUUGUUGUAAAGUGAGAAGUAGGGCAAGGUACUACAACAGUUUGUAGGAAGUGUUGGGGCAAGUGUCGGGUAUGGGUUCCCGGAACCAGUAACUUCUAUCUAUCACAAUUAUUUUUCAAUGCUAGCUAUGACAAAGAAUUUUGCAAAACUCCGUAAGAAAUGCUAUUUUUUUAAACCUUGAAAGUUUUUUAGGUGAAAAUUGGAGAAUUACAUAUUUUUUGAUCUGUUAAUCGAACCAUAUUAUAAACCACUGGAAUAACCCAGCAGCAUACAACAAUGACAUUGUUUCUUGCUUGUACUAUUAAAUUUGAGACAAUGACGCUACAUUUUCUGCAGAAAAUAAUUUCUAUCGAGUAUUUCUUAUGCCCAAUGUGUUCUUUCACACUAAUUUCGAAAACUCUUUUUUUUUGCGUUCUAAGAUUGUGCGGUUGAGUUUAUGUGGUUAUGGCGUCGUCUUAAAAGAAGGGCCGUUUUGAGAAGUACAUUUACGCCCUUAAUUUGCUUUAUUACCCACGUUAUUAUAGCCCAUUUCUGUAAAUUUAUUUUGUCUAGGGCGGUGGCUGACACUACUUUGAUUACUUUGCGUUCUUACUUGUCUCCCAUGGCUAAUAGGUAAAUAUCGGUGAGAACAAGAAUAUAUAGACAAGAUGUUCUGCAUGUUGCCACCCUCAAAGUCUCUACCAAGAAACGACAUCGUUGGAGGCUUUCUUUCUGUUUGCAACAUUGACUCAUGAAUGAGAAAUCUCAGUAGGUGGUUCUUUGGUCAGGUUUGGCUCUAGAAGCAUCCUUCUUCAAUCUCUCUCAUCCCCAAAAUCAGAUGCAAGACUACUCUUAUUCCAACAGCAAUUUCAUAUUAUUCUUGUGCUUUUCUUCAUCUUCGCACCUGGUGUUGUCGUUUCAGUCUUCCAAAGACUACCCUUUCAAUACGUUCCAUCUACUCGGAUUGGGGUUAUAAUUAAUUUCAGGUAUGAUUUUCUUAUUUUUAGCCAAAAUUUCUUCCAUUUCUCUUAUGUCUUCCCAGUUUUAUGGCUGAAGUUAGUGACAAAUGCCAUUUUUUCUUUCGGUUCUCUUCGGUCUUCCCCAUUUCUACUAAUUCAUAUUCUUGGAAGUUAAUAUGAAUUUCGAAAUUGGUACUUAGUUGAAUUUGUCAUCAACUAAAACGAUAUCUUGAUUUUAGCACAUUUUAGAGACAGGAUCUAUGCAUGUUAUGUGUCAAGACAACAACUUAAAUUAAUUCCCGAACUUUUGAGUACAAAUCUUCUUCUGCUACUUGAAAUUAUCGUACGGGUCCUCAUUUUUUAGUUUUUUUAUUCGGGUGUAUUCUAUGUUUUGGAAAUUUAUGCAUUGCUACUGUGAAAGGAUUACCUACAAAAUGGCAUCGUUGGAAUUUGAUUUCUGCUUCGUUGCUAUUCCAGAUUUCGUAUAGGCUGCUUUUUUAUGAUGCCCCUCUUUUGGAACUCCGAGCUUAGGCCUUUAGAUAUAUAGCAGAGUACACAUUAAAACGGAGAUGGAAUGGAUGUCGUUGUCAAUUCGUUGUCUAUUUCUUUAUUUGCCGAUCAAAUGGACUGUUGUGACAGAAUUAUAUUCUUGGGAACUCUGAAUUAUAGUUAGAGGCACUGUCAACCUAAAAAGGCUUUGAACGAGACUCUACUUUUUAUUGUCUCUAUCUGGUGUCAGAUUUAAAUAAACAAUAAACAAUAAGCAAAACUUCCUUGUGAAAAGUUUGUAAACCAUAAUAGCUCUUUGAGCUUAGCAUUAUGAAGGUCAAAGUAUAUAUGAAUUCUGGGGUGAAAUUAAGACAAUGUGAGACAUCUAUAUCAUCGUCUUUUUGAACAUUCUAUUGUUAAUAAUUCAAGUGGUAUUUUAUCGUCCUUUUAUUGUCAUAAGAGACCCAUCUUUCUCUCGUAAAAGAGGUUAUAAAGUAUCAUUUCUUAUUUUCAA
Nicotiana tabacum (common tobacco) is the source of this 2035-nucleotide non-coding RNA. NCBI's taxonomy places the organism in Eukaryota, Viridiplantae, Streptophyta, Magnoliopsida, Solanales, Solanaceae. The record is from RefSeq and is a predicted model, not a curated record.